Long non-coding RNA from Ctenopharyngodon idella (grass carp), 522 nucleotides. RefSeq lists it as uncharacterized. The record is from RefSeq and is a predicted model, not a curated record. The transcript has 4 exons. Lineage: Eukaryota; Metazoa; Chordata; Actinopteri; Cypriniformes; Xenocyprididae.
AUAUCCUAAGAAGAUAACGAAAUCUGCUCUUCUUGGUGAAGAAGUCAACAUCAGCUGUCAGAUCCCAGAGGAACAUAAAGUUCAUUUCUGCAAAGAGGAUGAUAAUCACAUCUGUCAAAACAUCCGCACAUCUACAGUGACAGAAAUGAAUGGUUCAUCUGAGAGAAAUGAAGAGAGAGUUUUUACAGUGAGCAUCAGUAAUGUGAGCGUGAGAGAUGCUGGAGUUUACUGGUGUGGAGCAGAAACCAGAGACACACAUUUGACUUUCAUCUCCCUGACCACCAAAAUUCAGAUCAACGUCAUCAAUUCCUUCAUGAUCAUCAUUAUUUGUGUGUGUGUGAUUCUGCUGCUGAUUGGUGGAUUCACUCUGACUGUGUGUGAAUUAAGACACAAGAGACGAGGAAGAACCUCGACAUCAGACAAGAGAAAGAGAGAGAGAAAUAGAAUGUCAUCAUGUGCAGAAAGCAGAUGUGAUUCUCUCACAGAUCCUGGAUCAGCUCAAAAUAACAGUCACGAUGAACU